GGGGAAGCGGGAGCUUUUAUUUUCGGGCUAAGGGGAAAAUAGAAAAGAAAGAAAAAGCAAAAGAGGGAAUUCCCCCGCCCGCCACCGAGGGGAUAAAAGGGCAUCGGGCGGCACCGCAGGAGGAGAAGCGGCGAGGACGGCAGAGCGGAGCGGCGGUGCCCGGCCAGGAGCAGCUCGGUUGGAAGGGUGCUACUGAGAUCAGAGAAUCAUGGAAUCAUGGGGGUCAGAAGGGACUUCUGGACAUCAUCCAGUUCACUUUCCUGGUAGAGCAGAAUCCCUACAGCAGGUGAUCAAGUUCAACUACUGACCAAUUUGAGACUCACUGAAAUUUAACGCAUGAUACUGAAGGCAUUAUCCAAAUGCCUCUGAAAUACACUACAAAACUUUAAAUGGACCAUCAAGACUUUCUCUUAGUGCUCUCUUUCCCUACUCAUCCAGCUGUGCAGCACCCUCGGCAGAGGCUGUGGUGGCUGGGAAUUGGGGCAGGAUGAGGGCCUGCUCCCUGGGAAAGAAUGUGGACCUGAUCCCUAGGCAGGAUGCAGACCUGCUUCCCACGGCAAGAUACAGACCUGAACUCCAGGGCACAGUGUGGGCCUGCUCCAGGCUGCUGGGGUCCAAGAGCCAGCAAUCUGUCUCUGGCUUUUCCUGUGGGUGAGAAGCAGUUCGAUCUCCACAUUAGUGCUGUGAAGGACUUUGAUGCAGGUGUCCUGCUAACUGCAUGGAAGUGUCUGAGCUGCUUGAUGGCUGUUUGGUGCCUUACAGAAGAGUGCUGUGAGUGGGAGAAAAAAAUACUGCAGCCAGGAUAAGCGAUGGAAAGCCUGCUUCUGCUUCAAUAAGCCUUAAAAGAAAGAAGGAAUUGGGCCACUGUCCAGUAUUGGGGAGUCAUGCCACUCAACUACCUACACCUAUACACCUUACUUGUUGCAAGGAUAUCCUCCUGAUUCAGGAAAUCAUUCUUCUCUGUGUUCCAUCAUAUUCAACUGAAGAAUAUAAAGCACUGACUGGACUUGCUCAGAACAAGAUAAUUCAAUGCAGUAAAAGGCAAGUGGAAUUUAAAUUGCACUCUGUGUUUGAGAUGGGUGUUUAAAAUUCAGUGUGCUGCAUCAGCUUCUAAGACUUUAUUAAUCUUGGUUUAGAAUUUAUUUAUAUGAUCAUUCUUAACUUUUACUUCUCUCAUUAGCUCUGAAAAUGGAAGGCCAGUGCUAACAGAUCAUUAAAAACCUUUAUCAGGGUUUCUGGAAACUUACUAUGAAAUGUUGCAUAAGGAAAAGAAAUUGAAAUAUUUUUCUCAUGAUUUGUUAUAAAUUAUGUUAUCUAUUUAUUUCAGAUAAACCCUAUAGAAUCCAUUUUUUCCAAUCCCCUGGUCCUUGUUGCACUCUUAUUCAUAUUUGCUUGUCUUUUUCACUUGAGUAGCAAAGCAAGAAAAGUCUGAAUCCUAAAACCAUGAAAUCCUAUUUUUCUACAAUGAGAGGACAAUGUGGAUAUAUUUUAGAUUGUUUCGCAGCACUAAUGCCUUAUUUGUGGUUGAAACUGUAACUCUAGGGUAGAAAAUUAAAAUUUUGGAGAGUAAAAUACCAAUGUAUCUUUGAAUUACAGUUGGAAAUUUCUCUUUUUCAAAAAAAUUGAAGCCUGCCUGUAGCAUUGUGGUUUGCCUACAAAUAACAGUUUUAUAUACUACAGUAAAAGAUUUGAUGAGAAUCAUAGUUAGAUAAGGCAGUUCUCCAGUGUCAUCUUAUAUCCUGCACAACCUCAAACAAUGGUUUGAUGACAGCCAGCUUGGAGGAGAUAUAAUGUUAUCUGUGGUACUGGGGCAUCAUUGCUUGAGUUAUUAUUUGCCUUAUCAGAACCUGUUCCAUCAUCCUUGGAUGUAACCUAAACAAAAACUUUAAUAAGGCUAACUGAACAAUCAGAGACUGCUUUUGCUGGAGGUGAUUUAGUAUUCUCCCAUAACAUCUGCGUGACUUUCCUUCCUCUUGUGCUCUUCUUGUACAGGAGUGACGCUUGAGAGGAGAUCAAGUGCUGUCUGGAAUGCAAGGAGAAGCCUUCUCCUUUCCUGGCAGCCAGGAAAUAUUCCAAGUGACACAGAAACAGAUGGAAAGUCAUCCUCUUUUGAAAAGACAUAUAAUUUUGACACUUUUCACACUGGAUGCCUGCUCUGCUCUUAUAGUAUGCAUGUUUGCCAAAAAAAGUAACUUAUUUGACAGAGAAAAUGGAGAAUAAAAAAGAGGCAGCUAAAACCUUACAAAACUGAUUUACCACUUGGCCUAAACUGACAACAGUCCAUCCUGAUCAUUUUUCACUAUGGACAGAUGAUUCCUCUGUGGCAUGAUAGAAAAUAUUGCGCAUGAUCACAGUAGCUAUUUCAGCAUAACAGGAUUUAAAUGGAAAAUCUAUGGUGAAAUUUGACUCAUCUGAUCAGUGCUACUAUAGAAAACUACUUCUCAGCACCACAUAGUUCAACUCACAACUGGUUGCAUUCUUGCUUUGCAUGUCCUUCCUUCUUUGUUCCUGCACCCUUUUUCCAUUUAUUAUGCAGUCCUGUCCUUGUACAAUCUUUGGAUAGAGUUUUAAUUCAAGAACAAUUAUUAAAUCUAGAAAAGGUUUUUGCAGAAGCAUGUAUAUCAUUUCUAUCUUGUGCUGAAGGUGACUGCUUGAACCCCUUCAUUUCAGCUUUAUCUUUUUCUUAUGUAUUUGAUCCUUCCUGUAGUAAUGCUAAGUUCUCCUCUCAGGCAUUAGUCCUAAAACUUAUCUUGAAGAUAACAUUGUUAGUUCACUGAAAAAUUACAUUUGAUUCAAACAACUAUGAAGUAAGAAAGUGUUUCUUUUACAACAACAAAAAUUGGUUCUAAUUUUGAAAGACAACAUAAUGACAUGUGCAUAGGAUGUUAAGCAUCCACUUGUUUCUCCCUUCUGUUUUAUAGGAAAUACAGUUAUCAUCUUUAGAUGUAAAGUUUAUCACAGUGUGCAAGGAAGAGCUUUGUGAUUGAUGCAUUCUCGAAGGUGCAGUUUAGCUUUUCUGUGGCCUCUUGAGGUUUCAGUGUUUUUCAGGAGGUUUUCAGUUUGUGGUCAUCUGCCAUUGGUGACUCAAGUUAUCUCAUUCAUCUCAAAAUUCAGGCUGCUUUUCAGAAGAAUUUAUAGGUAGAUAAAUCUUUGAAACGCAUCCUAGCAAUUUAAACCACAUCCACACUUGCUUAAAUCUAGACAAAAAAUAGGUAAACAGAUUUUUUAUCAUUUGAACAUGAAAAUAAUUCAAUGAACAAGGAAAAUCACAUCAAAAUAAAAUAUUCUGCAAAAAAAAAAAUUGUCUAGAGCAGGCACAGUGUAGUGAAAGUGAACUGUACAGACUGGGAAAGCAAGAAUGGACUCAUUUAAGUACUGCAACAUCACUGCAAGGAGCAGAAAAUGUAUGAAUUUGUUUUUAAACUGAUGUGUUUUCUGUCUUACAAAGUCAGAACAUAAAAGUAAUAUCUCAAACACUUCAUUAUUAAGAAGUCACUACUGACAGUGGAUUUACAAAUGUUACUCAGUCUUUACUGGAAUUGUGUAUAAAUAUAUAACACGUCUAUUUUGCAGUUGUUAGAAGAAUGCUCCACCACACUUUUCCCAUGAUACAUAGAUCCUCCACAGCCCUUCAUACAGCAGGCAUAACCUUCAGAAACUGCUUCAACAAAAGACAGGGGAAGAGAUUAAAAGGUGGAAUGUGUUUUAUCCACACAGUCCUUUAGUGACAACAAAAAGAGAUUGUGAAAGUGUCUCCAAAUGGAUAUGAAAAUAACUCAUUUCUACUUCCAGCCUCUGAAUAUUGUCAGGAUGGGUAGGAAUAAUAUAAAUUCUCAUAUAAAUAAAAGUCAGACUACCAAGGCAAUCUAGCUUCUCUUACAAGAAGACACAAGUUCUUUGAAGCCACCAAGAUCUCAUCCAUUUGCAUUGUGACUAUUCUUUCCCAAAUUCCCUUUUACAGCUGAAUAAAUUGCUUGGUAAAUGUGCUCAAAUUGUGAACAUACUGUGUUGACAAAGAUAACACAAAUUUGUGUCAAAGCAGCUCAAUCACGAACUGCACAUAAAAACAGAUAUUUUAAGAUCAAACUUCUUCCAAUUUUUUUGUUUCUGGACGAUGCAGUUUACAUCUUCUAAGAGUUGCUCAAUUUUUUAAAAUUUAUUUAUUUUUAAUUUUCAAGUUUACCACAGUACAUGCUGCAAAACCCUGUAAUCACUUUUAUUUCAGAGUUUUCUCAUGGUUUACCUUUAGCAUCUCAUACAAAUGAAAAACGUUUUUUCAAGUUUUCUUCCUCUAAACAGUCCUAUUUAAUACAUGUAUUUAUUGGUGCAUUUCUGUCUUUGGAAGAUAAAUGGGAUAUAAUAAUGUGCACCGUCUGGGAAGUGGACAGCCUGGAUAAACUUGCAGUGGGUUUCUUUUGCUCACAGCUGCACUAAGUGAAAUAUAUGCUCCCUCUUUGCAGAGCAUCUUUCCUUUUUUUUUUUUUUUUUUUUUUUUUUUUUUUUUUUUUUUUUCUGAGGCUGGAAAUCCCUGUAAGUGACAAAGAUGGGUGAGGGAAGGCAGCCCCUCCCCAGAGACACGGACAUGUCUGAUGUCUGCUUUCAGAAAGCCUCCAGGGUGCUCUGUGGUCUCAAUGAGAAAAGUCUGGACAAUGGCAGGAGCCUUUAACAUGAAAGUGUGCUAAACACUUCUCAUAGCACAUAAUAUAUGGAACACUUUGGACCUCCAAAGAUAUAUAAAUAUGCAUUAGAUCCCCAAACAGAGAUGUGAGAAACUGAAAUACAAUAUCUUCUUUUUGAGACAUGCAUGAAGCAGAAGGACAUACCUGGGGGAUGUGAACAUCGGGGGAAUCAGCUUCAGGUCUAGGCUGUCACUUGUAGGACACCUUGGAAGACUGCAAGAGGCAGGAAGAGAGGGAAGAAAUUAUCCAUGAAGAAGAAGGAAUCAUGGGGCACCCCACAAAAAUUGGCCAGGGACUCCCUGAGAUCUGAAUGGAGGCCAGGGUGCAACACAGCAAGGAGGUGCGCAGGGUUUUUCACUGCAGACUCAAUCGUCUUAUCUUACCUCCUACCUUUUUCUCAGUCCACUUGCAUAUUCAUGUCUGAACUCCCACUGUAUAACCUGUCAAUAAACCUCUCCUCUGAUAUUAAUCAAAAAGCUUGUCUUUUGUCAUAGGUCUAUGUUAUGGAGAGGCAAUCCUCCCCCAGGGGACAUUUGCCUCAGGAGAAGCUUCUUAGUUCCACUGGAAAAGCAAGCUCUUCAGGAGGUCCCCGGGUAGCCAAAGAUGUCUUUUUAUCACACAGUGAACAGAUAGUGUUUUAUUCCUCUACUGAAAUGUUCCCUGAUACAUUAGCAUGCCUCAUGUUCCUACUUUGAUCUAAAGAUUUUCUAAUACCCGUUUUCUGUGGAAUUAGUAUACCUCCAUUUACAGUGGUCCCGACUAUGUCUUGGAGGACAAAAUAGAUAGCCUGUUUGUAUUGCCGUAUACAAAUUGUUGUGUCAACAGGAUGGUGUUUUGAGUAGAAAACUCAAUAUUCAGUGACAUGGAUACAUAAUCUAGGGAAAAAAAAAAUGAAACAGUUCUUGUACUGCUAUCCCAUCUGCCCUGCAGAAAGGGAUUUGGAGCCUUAGACUCCCUAAAGAAUGGUUUUACAUCAUCUACCUUGAAGUCAGAAAUAAUUUGUAAGCAGUCUUGUGAAACAUGUGAGUCAAGGUUUGGUGGGUUCUGAGCCCAAGUCCUGGCCACAACUUUGGUACUGGGGACAAUUAAAGAAAUAUAACAUUAUUCUUUUGGAGUCAGAAUAUAUUGCUCAUCACUACACAACCGUGAGUAACUGAAGCCAGGAAUGAAUGGAGGAAUAUGAGAUUAUGGAUGGUGUUGUUAAAUUUCUGCCUGGACUUGGAAACAGUUUCCUGUAGAGAAACACUGUGCUAACUCACUUCAUGAAAACAGCCUGAGAGAAGACAAAACAUUGCAACUCACUUGCCAUUUUUUUGAAGAUAAAAGAUAUAUUUGUCUAACAAUUUACUUGUCUAGUUUCGAGCCCACCUGCAGUAGCCCCUACCUAGCAUAGUAAGUUGAUAGAAGCAAGAAAACUGGAUUCCCUGUCUUUUCAGAUAUAUUUCUAUACAAGCAGCUGUGCCUACUGGAACAAUCCAGUUAUUUUGUUCUAUUUGACAGUUUCACAGCCCUCAGAAAUUACAUAAACUGGCCUUAAUAUGAACCACUCUGGCACCCUUCCCUUUGCUGCUGCAGCUCAGACAAAGAUGGCAUGAAGUUGAGCACAGUCUAAGUAUACAUUUAUGUGAACAUGCCCACAGCCUAAAAGGAAUUGCCAUUAAUGACCUGUUGUUUCCUGGCAACUCCUUAAAAACAUGUUUUCCAGAGCAAAAAUAGGUUCAUUUUAAGUGAAUCUCAAAGGAACUCAGAAGAGAGGAGAGGAGAAAAAAAAAGAGAAAAAUGUGCCGUUUGAAAUUGCCCUCUUUGGGCAUCUUUUAAAAGAUAAAUCUAUGUUUAUCACUCUGGAAUUACUUUUUUUCUUUAGAAAUUUAAGCUGACUAGAGUGAAACUAUUUUUUAUCUGCCGUCUUGAACUGGCUUCACACAGUUACUGUGACUUAAGCAAGCCAGGAUUUGCUGAAACAUGGUUGACAGAGAGUCAGUGAAGGCUAGUUUUGAUUCUGUUUUCUGUGAUGUCACUUAUGACCAGAAGCUGCAAAGCAUGUAACUGCUGGAUUUAAAUAGAACUGAUAAAAGCUCUUGUGCCUGUACUUCAUUUCAACAUAUCUUGAAAGCACUGGACUUCUGCCAUUGUCUUCACUGGGAACAGAAACUCUCAGUUUAUUGAAGCCUUAUUAUUUUUUUUAAUGCUCCAAGAAUAUUGGGAGGGGGAAUAUUUCUAUGAAAGCCAUUGAAAAAUUUAGUAAAAUAAAGAAUUAUUAUAAAUGAGGAUUUUAAUUUGUCCAGACUAUAACUCAGGGGGCAGCAAGAAUGUCUUCUUACAGAGCUUGAAAGAGAAUCAUAGAAUCAGUCAGGUUGGAAAAGACCUUAAAGAUCAUCAAAUCCAACCAC
Non-coding RNA from Coturnix japonica (Japanese quail), 7069 nucleotides. The record is from RefSeq and is a predicted model, not a curated record. NCBI's taxonomy places the organism in Eukaryota, Metazoa, Chordata, Aves, Galliformes, Phasianidae.